GCUGAGCCAUGCCCUGCAGCAUAACCGAAGUUCAAUCAGGAAGUGAAUGACUGUGUAGAUGGCACAGCAGGCUUAAUCCCUGGAACUUUAAUUUCCUUCACCUUUACAGGCUGGCAAAAAGAAGAGUUCAGAAGAAAAGAUGAAUAAGAAGGGGCCGGACAGAAGUACAGAAAGCCAUGAAUGCAGAAGAAAAGAUGAAAGAACAAAACUGAAAGCUCGAUAGGGGGCAAGGAGAGAAGAACUUGUCGGAAUAGAUACAUGCCUCUUGCUUCUGCCGUGAAAUCCUGCCUCAGCGCUGCCUUCAGCACUGCAGAUCCGAAGGCACACAGCACAACUUAUCAGGCUUCCUGUGAUGUUUGGAAUUCUCCUUAGGCUCCAGCUGUGGGCAACAGGCAACCUGUGUGGGAAAUUCAGAUUUCUUUGCCUUUUCCUUAAAGUAAAUUACAAGCACUUUGGGUCUCAGUGAACUGCCUAAAAGUACAGCACAGAGGCACUCCUCUUGGCUGGAGACAGAGGGCGGAUUACAAGCGUACAUGAUUUUAAAACCUUUAUGAACUUUAACCUGGCUUCUUGGUGAACCUGAUGUCUGGGUGUGGGUGAGCCAGCAAGACCUCACAAACAAUUUGGUAGUGCUUGCGUUUGGCUGUCCUGAGCAGACAAGUAGGCAAACAUCUGCAAUUUAAAAGACAUGAUUCACAAGAGGCAGCCACCACUGCAUACACACCGCAUAGAGAGGGAAGCUGGCUUGAGGCCCUGUGUUCCCUGUAUAAAUUGCAAAAGGGAAUGAAAUUCCAAGUAAAUGCUCAGACUUUUUGAUUAAAUCAAUCUAUUGCCACUA
Numida meleagris (helmeted guineafowl) is the source of this 838-nucleotide long non-coding RNA. RefSeq lists it as uncharacterized. The transcript is spliced from 3 exons. The record is from RefSeq and is a predicted model, not a curated record. Lineage: Eukaryota; Metazoa; Chordata; Aves; Galliformes; Numididae.